GCCUUCGUGGUGUAGUGGUCAGCACGCUGGCUAAGUAUUCUAGAGGGCAGUGGUUCGAGUCCCGGCGAAGGCG
This 73-nucleotide transfer RNA is filed under the name Stegodyphus mimosarum. It matches the Rfam family "tRNA". Rfam says of the family: Transfer RNA (tRNA) molecules are approximately 80 nucleotides in length. Their secondary structure includes four short double-helical elements and three loops (D, anti-codon, and T loops). Further hydrogen bonds mediate the characteristic L-shaped molecular structure. tRNAs have two regions of fundamental functional importance: the anti-codon, which is responsible for specific mRNA codon recognition, and the 3' end, to which the tRNAs corresponding amino acid is attached (by aminoacyl-tRNA synthetases). tRNAs cope with the degeneracy of the genetic code in two manners: having more than one tRNA (with a specific anti-codon) for a particular amino acid; and 'wobble' base-pairing, i.e. permitting non-standard base-pairing at the 3rd anti-codon position. Lineage: Eukaryota; Metazoa; Arthropoda; Arachnida; Araneae; Eresidae. The record is from Rfam by way of RNAcentral.